This is a non-coding RNA of Podarcis lilfordi (Lilford's wall lizard), 72 nucleotides long. NCBI's taxonomy places the organism in Eukaryota, Metazoa, Chordata, Lepidosauria, Squamata, Lacertidae. The record is from the annotation of a GenBank genome assembly.
GUCUAGCAGCUCAACUGAUUGAGCACGAGAAUCUUAAUCUCACGGUUGUAGGUUCGAGCCCCACGUUGGGCA